RNAcentral lists this ribosomal RNA (301 nucleotides) under uncultured bacterium. Its description in RNAcentral is "partial 16S ribosomal RNA". It matches the Rfam family "Bacterial small subunit ribosomal RNA", at positions 509 to 807 of the family's 1533-position model. The record is from RNAcentral.
CAGUAGCCACGGGAAUACGAAGGGUGCAAGCGUUACUCGGAAUUACUGGGCGUAAAGCGUGCGUAGGUGGUGGUUUAAGUCCGUUGUGAAAGCCCUGGGCUCAACCUGGGAAUUGCAGUGGAUACUGGGUCACUAGAGUGUGGUAGAGGAUAGUGGUAUUUCCGGUGUAGCAGUGAAAUGCGUAGAGAUCGGAAGGAACAUCUGUGGCGAAGGCGACUAUCUGGGCCAACACUGACACUGAGGCACGAAAGCGUGGGGAGCAAACAGGAUUAGAUACCCCGGUAGUCCCUGUCUCUUAUAC